GGAGUUAGCCGGUGCUUCUUCUGUGAGUGAUGUCCUUCCUGCCGGCUAUUAACCCGCAGGCCUUCUUCCUCACUGAAAGUGCUUUACAACCCGAAGGCCUUCUUCACACACGCGGCAUGGCUGGAUCAGGGUUGCCCCCAUUGUCCAAUAUUCCCCACUGCUGCCUCCCGUAGGAGUCUGGGCCGUGUCUCAGUCCCAGUGUGGCUGAUCAUCCUCUCAGACCAGCUACGGAUCGUCGCCUUGGUGAGCCGUUACCUCACCAACCAGCUAAUCCGACAUAGGCUCAUCCGAUAGCGCGAGGCCCGAAGGUCCCCCGCUUUCCCCCGUAGGGCGUAUGCGGUAUUAGCCUGGGUUUCCCCAGGUUAUCCCCCACUACCGGGCAGAUUCCUAUGCAUUACUCACCCGUCCGCCGCUCGCCACCAGGGAGCAAGCUCCCCGUGCUGCCGCUCGACUUGCAUGUGUUAGGCUCGCCGCCACGCGUCAUCUGAGCAUAAUACAACUACUGA
This 506-nucleotide ribosomal RNA is filed under the name uncultured bacterium. RNAcentral's name for it is "partial 16S ribosomal RNA". The record is from RNAcentral.